AUUGAACGCUGGCGGAAUGCUUUACACAUGCAAGUCGAACGGCAGCACGGACUUCGGUCUGGUGGCGAGUGGCGUACGGGUGAGUAAUGUAUCGGAACGUGCCCAGUCGUGGGGGAUAACGUAGUGAAAAUUACGCUAAUACCGCAUACGAUCUAUGGAUGAAAGCGGGGGAUCGCAAGACCUCGCGCGAUUGGAGCGGCCGAUAUCAGAUUAGGUAGUUGGUGGGGUAAAGGCCCACCAAGCCAACGAUCUGUAGCUGGUCUGAGAGGACGAUCAGCCACAUUGGAACUGAGACACGGUCCAGACUCCUACGGGAGGCAGCAGUGGGGAAUUUUGGACAAUGGGCGAAAGCCUGAUCCAGCCAUUCCGCGUGCAGGAUGAAGGCCCUCGGGUUGUAAACUGCUUUUGUACAGAACGAAAAGGUUUCUACUAAUACUAGGAGCUCAUGACGGUACUGUAAGAAUGAGCACCGGCUAACUACGUGCCAGCAGCCGCGGUAA
This 500-nucleotide ribosomal RNA is filed under the name uncultured bacterium. RNAcentral describes it as "partial 16S ribosomal RNA". It matches the Rfam family "Bacterial small subunit ribosomal RNA", at positions 30 to 523 of the family's 1533-position model. The record is from RNAcentral.